Cyprinus carpio (common carp) is the source of this 1291-nucleotide long non-coding RNA. Lineage: Eukaryota; Metazoa; Chordata; Actinopteri; Cypriniformes; Cyprinidae. The record is from Ensembl.
AUGCGCCCACAGGAGCCUUUCCGUAUUUCCCCACUGCCGCAGCAGUUCCUGCUCCAGCAGGAGCCUUCAUCUUUAUUUGAAUCUGCAGCAGUGCUCGCUUCCACAAAAGCCAUUUUUUUUUUCUUUUCAGAUGCCAUAGCAAUUCCCACAGGAGUUUUCUUUUCAGAUGCUGCAGCAGUCCCCGCUCCAGUAGGAGCCUUUGUCUGUAUUUUAAUCUGCUGCAGCAGUGCUUGCUUCUGCAGAAGCUAUUUUCUCUUUUCAGAUGCCGUAGCAGUUCCCACUCCCGCAGGAGCCUUUUCCGUGUUAUCCUACUGCCGCAGCAGUAGCUGCUCCCACAGGAGCUCUCCCAUAUUUCCCCACUGGCGCAGCAGUGUCAGCUCCCGCAGGAGCCUUUUCUAUCUUCCCUACUGCCGCAAUAAUCGCAUUUCCAGCAGGAGUUGUCAUCUCUCUCUUUCAAGCGGACGCUUCCAUGGAAGUCAAAUUCUCUUCCUAGACACUGCCACAACAAUUAUAUACCAAAGGACGUCCAGCACCCAUCUAACAUUAAGCCCAGCUUUUUGGGGAGUCGUAAAUGUGCGUAUCUGGCUGCUGUCAUGUUCUAAUUGCUUUUUGGGGAGCACUUUGGGCUGGGCCAGACUCCGAGCUCAGACCCCUCUCCCCGGACGGAGGGGGGGUGCACCGGGCUCGGGAGUCUUGCCGGGCUCGGAGCUCUCUUCCCAGACAGCACGCCAAAUACGCAUAACCUUUAUUUAAUUAUAAGUAAAUGUGAACUCGUGAAAUGUAUAUCUAUCUAACCUACACUAAUGUUCAAAAUUAAAUGUUCAAAUUUGGGUCAUUGUUUACUCAUCCUCAUUUUAUGACUUUUUUGUUUGUAGACCACAAAAUAAGAUGAUGUAUGUUUAUGCUGGUGGUUUCCAUGAGCUGUGAAGCUCUACAAAUGACAAAAAAAGUCCACAUUCAGUAUAUUCCUAGUCUUUUGAAGUCAUAUUAGGAUUUAAGACUUUCGGCCUGUUCCUUGCACAAAGAUAUUAUAUGACUUCAGAGGCCAUAUGAACUACUUUUAUGAUACAUUUAAUUAUUUUUAAGGCUCAAAACCUUUGGUCACCAUUAACUUUUACUGUAGGGAAAGUGCAGCAUGAUCAUUCUUCUAAAUAGCUAGUGUUCUACAAAUGAAAGAAAGUCAUACCAUUUUGGAACAACAUGAAAGUGAGUAAAUGAUGACAGAAUAUUCAUUUUCUGAUGAGCCUUUCCUUUAAAUAAACAUACGGACAAAUAAAGAUACUGAAAUAAG